Molecule: ribosomal RNA, 472 nt
Filed under: uncultured bacterium
Lineage: Bacteria
Description: bacterial SSU rRNA
Rfam family: Bacterial small subunit ribosomal RNA
Source: RNAcentral
UUCGGUUGGGCGAGUAAAGUGGCGCACGGGUGAGUAACGCGUAGGCAACCUACCCUUGAAUUUGGGAUAACAGUGCGAAAGUGCUGCUAAUACCGGAUACGACCCUUUUGUGCUGGGCAAAAGGGUGAAAGUCGGCCACUGGAACAAGCCGACGUUCGGGGAUGGGCCUGCGUCCUAUCAGCUGGUUGGUAGGGUAACGGCCUACCAAGGCGACGACGGGUAGCUGGUCUGAGAGGAUGAUCAGCCACACUGGCACUGGAACACGGGCCAGACUCCUACGGGAGGCAGCAGUGAGGAAUUUUGCGCAAUGGCCGCAAGGCUGACGCAGCAACGCCGCGUGGGUGAAGAAGGCCUUCGGGUCGUAAAGCCCUGUCAGGUGGGAAGAACGACACGGGGAGGAAUAUGCUCUGUGAGUGACGGUACCACCAGAGGAAGCACCGGCUAACUCCGUGCCAGCCGCCGCGGUAAUUCA